RNAcentral lists this ribosomal RNA (692 nucleotides) under uncultured bacterium. RNAcentral describes it as "bacterial SSU rRNA". It matches the Rfam family "Bacterial small subunit ribosomal RNA", at positions 63 to 758 of the family's 1533-position model. The record is from RNAcentral.
CGAGAAUCUACUGAAAGAGUUUUCGGACAAUGGAUGUAGAGGAAAGUGGCGGACGGGUGAGUAACGCGUGAGGAACCUGCCUUGAAGAGGGGGACAACAGUUGGAAACGACUGCUAAUACCGCAUGACGCAUAGAGGUCGCAUGAUCUUUAUGCCAAAGAUUUAUCGCUUCAAGAUGGCCUCGCGUCUGAUUAGCUGGUUGGCGGGGUAACGGCCCACCAAGGCGACGAUCAGUAGCCGGACUGAGAGGUUGAACGGCCACAUUGGGACUGAGAUACGGCCCAGACUCCUACGGGAGGCAGCAGUGGGGAAUAUUGGGCAAUGGGCGCAAGCCUGACCCAGCAACGCCGCGUGAAGGAAGAAGGCUUUCGGGUUGUAAACUUCUUUUAAGAGGGAAGAGCAGAAGACGGUACCUCUAGAAUAAGCCACGGCUAACUACGUGCCAGCAGCCGCGGUAAUACGUAGGUGGCAAGCGUUGUCCGGAUUUACUGGGUGUAAAGGGCGUGCAGCCGGGUCUGCAAGUCAGAUGUGAAAUCCAUGGGCUCAACCCAUGAACUGCAUUUGAAACUGUAGAUCUUGAGUGUCGGAGGGGCAAUCGGAAUUCCUAGUGUAGCGGUGAAAUGCGUAGAUAUUAGGAGGAACACCAGUGGCGAAGGCGGAUUGCUGGACGAUAACUGACGGUGAGGCGCGAAA